GCGCCCGUAGCUCAUCUGGAUAGAGCAUUGGUUUCCUAAACCAAGGGUAGCAGGUUCGAGUCCUGCCGGGCGCACCA
Molecule: transfer RNA, 77 nt
Filed under: Alphaproteobacteria bacterium
Lineage: Bacteria; Pseudomonadati; Pseudomonadota; Alphaproteobacteria
Description: tRNA-Arg
Rfam family: tRNA
About the family: Transfer RNA (tRNA) molecules are approximately 80 nucleotides in length. Their secondary structure includes four short double-helical elements and three loops (D, anti-codon, and T loops). Further hydrogen bonds mediate the characteristic L-shaped molecular structure. tRNAs have two regions of fundamental functional importance: the anti-codon, which is responsible for specific mRNA codon recognition, and the 3' end, to which the tRNAs corresponding amino acid is attached (by aminoacyl-tRNA synthetases). tRNAs cope with the degeneracy of the genetic code in two manners: having more than one tRNA (with a specific anti-codon) for a particular amino acid; and 'wobble' base-pairing, i.e. permitting non-standard base-pairing at the 3rd anti-codon position.
Source: RNAcentral